Molecule: ribosomal RNA, 610 nt
Filed under: Epiactis australiensis
Lineage: Eukaryota; Metazoa; Cnidaria; Anthozoa; Actiniaria; Actiniidae
Description: eukaryotic LSU rRNA
Source: RNAcentral
CAGACGCACACCGCGAACCGUACUAACCGGUGGGGGUCGCCUCGAACGGGGCGUCAAACGAUGGCAUGGCCACGGCCCCCACCUUGACUUUCAUUUCAUUUUACACACCUCAACUUGCAGAAUUCCUUCGUGCAUCGCCRCGAAGAAAACAUGAGUAAAAGAUCACAACUUUUAACGGUGGAUCUCUUGGCUCGUGCAUCGAUGAAGAACGCAGCCAGCUGCGAUAAGUAGUGUGAAUUGCAGAAUUCAGUGAAUCAUCGAAUCUUUGAACGCAAAUGGCGCUCUUGGGUUUUCCCAGGAGCACGUCUGUCUGAGUGUCGGUUUCCAAAAUCAACCACGCGCUGCGGCGCGGUCUUGAGGAGUCGCGGCCUCUCUAUCUAUCACUAGGCGGCCUCGUCCCUCGAAAUGGAGCACGACCGAUCCGGGCGGCCCGCGUUGCCACCUCGGCCAGGCCAAAAAAAUUCAAUUUGCCCUGCACCGAAGGCAGCGCCGAGCCGUCCAAACCGGUCGCGGUCGGCCAACAUUUCAACCUCGACCUCAGAUCAGGCGAGACUACCCGCUGAAUUUAAGCAUAUUAAUAAGCGGAGGAAAAGAAACUAACAAGGAUUCC